Molecule: long non-coding RNA, 356 nt
Organism: Carassius carassius (crucian carp)
Lineage: Eukaryota; Metazoa; Chordata; Actinopteri; Cypriniformes; Cyprinidae
Exons: 3
Source: RefSeq, a predicted model, not a curated record
CUGAUGAAGGAAUGCUAACAUCAAAGGAUUUAUUUCUUUUGUGGUGCAGCAGGACCUGCAAGGAAAGGUGAAAAAGAGGGAAAACCUGAAACAAAAGAAUAAUGUAGUCGUGCUCAUGGGUUGCAGGCACACGAAAGUUUGGAGCAGACACAGCAGUCAGAUUGUCCUGCACGUGUUCCCCUGCUCUAGCUUCAAGGUUGUGUGGCUCAGAGAGCCGUCAUCAAGGUCUUCCUCAUCCUGUUGCUCAACGACAUCCCCGUUGAAAAGAGUGAGAUUGUGAAGUGCAGCAGCAGAACUGUAUCAGCUGUGUUCAGAUGGCAGGAGGAUGUUGGGUUCACCAUCUGUAAAUACAUGUU